Molecule: non-coding RNA, 369 nt
Organism: Xyrichtys novacula (pearly razorfish)
Lineage: Eukaryota; Metazoa; Chordata; Actinopteri; Labriformes; Labridae
Source: the annotation of a GenBank genome assembly
UUGGUGCUGCUUAUUUCGGCCAAACAGGCGGUUGUGGUACAAGAGGGAGUCGCUCCCAUGAGGGAAAGCUUUACAGUCGCACAGGAGCAGGCUGGUGUUGAUGAGGAGAGAGGACAGAUCUAUUAGACACAGCUUUUACACCGUUCAGUCUUUGUUUCUUGAAAGGCCAAAAAUCCAUAAAUGAAACUUAUAGAUAGAUAGAACUGGUUUCAACUACCAAAUUUUUCAGGCCAUAAGGCACACCCGAUUAUAAGGCGCACAAUGAAUUAACGUGUUUAUGUUCACACAUAAGGCGCAUUCAGCAAAACAACACAGACCGGUAAAUCAAACUUUAUUUAACUCAGUUGUAACAACAAAUACCGGUACAGA